This 406-nucleotide ribosomal RNA is filed under the name uncultured bacterium. Its description in RNAcentral is "partial 16S ribosomal RNA". It matches the Rfam family "Bacterial small subunit ribosomal RNA", at positions 30 to 526 of the family's 1533-position model. The record is from RNAcentral.
AUUGAACGCUGGCGGCAGGCCUAACACAUGCAAGUCGAGCGAGUGGAGGACGGGUGAGUAAUGUCUGGGAAACUGCCUGAUGGAGGGGGAUAACUACUGGAAAAGGUAGCUAAUACCGCAUACCAUCAGAUGUGCCCAGAGGGGAUUAGCUAGUGGGUGGGGUAAUGGCUCACCUAGGCGACGAUCCCUAGCCGGUAUGAGAGGAUGACCAGCCACACUGGAACUGAGACGCGAUCCAGCAUCCGAGGGGAGGCAGCAGUGGGGAAUAUUGCACAAUGGGCGCAAUCCGGAUGAAGCCAUGCCGCGUGUGUGAAGAAGGCCUUCGGGUUGUAAAGCACUUUCAGCGGAGAGGCGUUACCCGCAGAAGAAGCACCGGCUAACUCCGUGCCAGCAGCCGCGGUAAUUC